GACGAACGCUGGCGGCGUGCCUAAUACAUGCAAGUCGAACGCAGUGGGGACGGGUGAGUAACACGUGGGUAACCUCCCAUCAGAGGGGAUAACACUUGGAAACAGGUGCUAAACCGAUACUGAUGGAUGGACCCGCGGUGCAUGAGCUAGUUGGGGAGGUAACGGCUCACCAAGGCCACGAUGCAUAGCGGACCUGAGAGCGUGUUAGGCAACAUGGGUACUGAAGCACGGCCCAGUCCCCUACGGUGGGCCUCGGUAGGGAUACUGCGGCAAUGGACGAAAGUCUGACCGAGCCACGCCGCGUGAGUGAAGAAGUUUUUCGGAUCGUAAAACUCUGUUGUUAGAGAAGCGGUAUCUAACCAGAAAGCCACGGCUAACUCCGUGCCAGCAGCCGCGGUAAUAC
Molecule: ribosomal RNA, 403 nt
Filed under: uncultured bacterium
Lineage: Bacteria
Description: partial 16S ribosomal RNA
Rfam family: Bacterial small subunit ribosomal RNA
Source: RNAcentral